AGACACACAAGGAGUUUCCCCCACAAGUUGUUCGGUAAACUCAAGUUUAAUCGUGUCUUUAUAUCAUGAUUUUCCAUUUGACUACCCCAUUUGAUGUGAAUAGGGUGCAAUGAUUUUUCCAUGCACACAAAUAAAUUACUCAUAUUAUCCGCUCUAUCGGAUUUAAGAAGUUAUCUUCUUAUUUUGUAUUUCACAAAUACGCAUUUGCUACCUUUUUAUCAAACUCA
RNAcentral lists this long non-coding RNA (227 nucleotides) under Erythranthe guttata (spotted monkey flower). RNAcentral's name for it is "long non-coding RNA (EGUT_LNC002006)". Lineage: Eukaryota; Viridiplantae; Streptophyta; Magnoliopsida; Lamiales; Phrymaceae. The record is from RNAcentral.